This 247-nucleotide ribosomal RNA is filed under the name uncultured bacterium. RNAcentral's name for it is "partial 16S ribosomal RNA". It matches the Rfam family "Bacterial small subunit ribosomal RNA", at positions 86 to 334 of the family's 1533-position model. The record is from RNAcentral.
CGAUGGCGACCGGCGCACGGGUGAGUAACGCGUAUGCAACCUGCCCGAUACCGGGGUAUAGCCCAUGGAAACGUGGAUUAACACCCCAUAGUACUUUUAUCCUGCCUGGGAUGGGAGUUAAAUGUUCAAGGUAUCGGAUGGGCAUGCGUCCUAUUAGUUAGUUGGCGGGGUAACAGCCCACCAAGACGAUGAUAGGUAGGGGUUCUGAGAGGAAGGUCCCUCACAUUGGAACUGAGACACGGUCCAA